AUGAAUCUUGUUGAUUUCACGAAGAGACAAUUGCAAUCGAUGAGAGAAUUGAAUAAAAUUCUUUGUUAGAAGACAUCUUCAUAUUUUGUGAAAAGAACGAUAUUGAGGAAUCCAAAACGCAAUGGUGGCGCAUCUGAUCGAAAUCAAAACCCAAUGGUGGUGCGGCUAACUAGAUCUAAUUCUAACGGUUGAGUGCUAAUUUGAUUUUUAAACAACGCUUGAAUUAUAUGAGAAAAUCAGAAAUACUUUGAAUAUACAAGCAUUCAAGAAUGUGAAUUUUUUUAAACUUGAUCGAAACUGAGGCAAUUAAACCUAGCUCUGAUGUCAUUGUAAGAAAAUUCAUAGCAAAAAAGAUAUGAAUAGUGUAUCUUGAAAACGCCGCAGAAAUCAUUGAAAUUGUUACUAAAAGAAAUUUGCCCCAGAUCUACUUCGUCCCUCUUGGAAACAGAGUGUUCUUCACAAAUUAAAUGUCUUUUGGUGUUUGAUUUUUGUUUUUUCUUUUUGUUGUACCUGAUCGUUUCUCUUCCUCUUUCUUAAAGUUAGGGGAAUUAAAGCGGUUGAACAGGAGAGGGUAACUGUCCCCCUCCCCCCUCCCUUAUCCAUUAAUCUCAUCUUCUUUCAGACUAAGAAACGGGUCGAAUCGGAUCGAAACGGUUCAGAUCAAUACACAUGAGAGAUUCAUGACCCGCAAAAUUUAACAUUAUUUUUUUUAAAAAAAAAAUGCAUAUAAAAAUGGUAGAUCUCUCAUAUUUGGUAACUAUCCGAAUCUACUUAAAGAAGC
This 781-nucleotide long non-coding RNA is filed under the name Capsicum annuum. RNAcentral's name for it is "long non-coding RNA (CANN_LNC011608)". Lineage: Eukaryota; Viridiplantae; Streptophyta; Magnoliopsida; Solanales; Solanaceae. The record is from RNAcentral.